Molecule: ribosomal RNA, 441 nt
Filed under: uncultured bacterium
Lineage: Bacteria
Description: partial 16S ribosomal RNA
Rfam family: Bacterial small subunit ribosomal RNA
Source: RNAcentral
CCUACGGGAGGCAGCAGUGGGGAAUAUUGCACAAUGGGGGAAACCCUGAUGCAGCAACGCCGCGUGAGUGAGGAAGUAUUUCGGUAUGUAAAGCUCUAUCAGCAGGAACGAGACAAGACGGUACCUGACUAAGAAGCCCCGGCUAACUACGUGCCAGCAGCCGCGGGAAUACGUAGGGGGCAAGCGUUAUCCGGAAUCACUGGGUGGAAAGGGAGCGUAGACGGCUGAGCAAGCCUGAAGUGAAAGGCGGGGGCCCAACCCCCGGACUGCUUUUGAAACUGUACGGCUGGAGUGCAGGAGAGGUACGUGGAAUGCGUAGUGUAGCGGUGAAAUGCGUAGAUAUUAGGAGGAACACCAGUGGCGAAGGCGGCUUACUGGACUGUAACUGACGUUGAGGCUCGAAAGCGUGGGGAGCAAACAGGAUUAGAUACCCCUGUAGUC